RNAcentral lists this ribosomal RNA (1186 nucleotides) under metagenome. Its description in RNAcentral is "SSU rRNA". It matches the Rfam family "Eukaryotic small subunit ribosomal RNA", at positions 115 to 1302 of the family's 1831-position model. The record is from RNAcentral.
AUUUACUUGAUCUUGACACAAUCCUACUUGGAUAACUGUGGUAAUUCUAGAGCUAAUACAUGCGCUGGGCUCCAACCCUCGUGGAAGGAGCACUUUAUUAGAUCAAAGCCAAUCGGGCCUUUGGGUCCGUUCUUUUGGUGACUCUGAAUAACUGAGCUGAUCGCAUGGUCUUUGUACCGGCGACGCAUCUUUCAAGUGUCUGCCUUAUCAACUUUCGAUGGUAGUUUAUGUGCCUACCAUGGUUGUUACGGGUAACGGAGAAUAAGGGUUCGACUCCGGAGAGGGAGCCUGAGAAACGGCUACCACAUCCAAGGAAGGCAGCAGGCGCGCAAAUUACCCACUCUCGGCACGAGGAGGUAGUGACGAAAAAUAACGAGGCGGUUCUCUAUGAGGCCCGCUAUCGGAAUGGGUACAAUUUAAACCCUUUAACGAGGACCUAUGAGAGGGCAAGUCUGGUGCCAGCAGCCGCGGUAAUUCCAGCUCUCAAGGUGUAUAUCGCCAUUGCUGCGGUUAAAAAGCUCGUAGUUGGAUCUGCGCCUUCGGACUCGGUCCGCCCAACGGGUGUGAACUGGGAUCCAAGGCUUAUACUGCUGGUUUUCCCUUGAUGCUCUUUACUGGGCGUCUUGGGUGGCUAGCGAGUUUACUUUGAAAAAAUUAGAGUGCUUAACACAGGCUAACGCCUGAAUACUCGUGCAUGGAAUAAUAGAAUAAGACCACGGUUCUAUUUUAUUGGUUUUCGGAACUGUGAUAAUGGUUAAGAGGGACAGACGGGGGCAUUCGUAUCGCUGCGUGAGAGGUGAAAUUCUUGGACCGCAGCGAGACGCCCUACUGCGAAAGCAUUUGCCAAGAAUGUCUUCGUUAAUCAAGAACGAAAGUCAGAGGUUCGAAGGCGAUCAGAUACCGCCCUAGUUCUGACCGUAAACGAUGCCAACUAGCGAUCCGCCGGUGGUAAUUACGCCCCGGCGGGGAGCUUCCCGGAAACGAAAGUCUUCCGGUUCCGGGGGAAGUAUGGUUGCAAAGCUGAAACUUAAAGGAAUUGACGGAAGGGCACCACCAGGAGUGGAGCCUGCGGCUUAAUUUGACACAACACGGGAAAACUCACCCGGCCCGGACACCGCAAGGAUUGACAGAUUGAGAGCUCUUUCUUGAUUCGGUGGUUGGUGGUGCAUGGCCGUUCUUAGUUGGU